UACGGAGGGGGCUAGCGUUGUUCGGCAUUACUGGGCGUAAAGCGCGCGUAGGCGGCUUUGUAAGUCAGAGGUGAAAGCCUGGAGCUCAACUCCAGAACUGCCUUUGAAACUACAUCGCUAGAAUCAUGUAGAGGUUAGUGGAAUUCCGAGUGUAGAGGUGAAAGGCGUAGAUAUGCGGAAGAGCACCAGUGGCGAAGGCGACUAACUGGACAUGUAGUGACGCUGAGGUGCGAAAGCGUGGGGAGCAAACAGG
This 253-nucleotide ribosomal RNA is filed under the name uncultured bacterium. RNAcentral describes it as "partial 16S ribosomal RNA". It matches the Rfam family "Bacterial small subunit ribosomal RNA", at positions 524 to 776 of the family's 1533-position model. The record is from RNAcentral.